AUUGAACGCUGGCGGCAUGCCUUACACAUGCAAGUCGAACGGCAGCACGGGAGCAAUCCUGGUGGCGAGUGGCGAACGGGUGAGUAAUAUAUCGGAACGUGCCCAAUCGUGGGGGAUAACGUAGCGAAAGCUACGCUAAUACCGCAUACGAUCUAUGGAUGAAAGCGGGGGAUCGCAAGACCUCGCGCGAUUGGAGCGGCCGAUAUCAGAUUAGGUAGUUGGUGGGGUAAAAGCCUACCAAGCCUUCGAUCUGUAGCUGGUCUGAGAGGACGACCAGCCACACUGGAACUGAGACACGGUCCAGACUCCUACGGGAGGCAGCAGUGGGGAAUUUUGGACAAUGGGCGCAAGCCUGAUCCAGCAAUGCCGCGUGCAGGAUGAAGGCCUUCGGGUUGUAAACUGCUUUUGUUACGGAACGAAACGGUU
Molecule: ribosomal RNA, 426 nt
Filed under: uncultured bacterium
Lineage: Bacteria
Description: bacterial SSU rRNA
Rfam family: Bacterial small subunit ribosomal RNA
Source: RNAcentral